Long non-coding RNA from Gopherus evgoodei (Goodes thornscrub tortoise), 730 nucleotides. RefSeq lists it as uncharacterized. NCBI's taxonomy places the organism in Eukaryota, Metazoa, Chordata, Testudines, Testudinidae. The record is from RefSeq and is a predicted model, not a curated record. The transcript has 3 exons.
GGUCUGCAUGGAAAGGGCCUGGGGGAAUCAUGCUGUGAAAUGAAUUAAAGCCUGUUCUGAAACCUUCAGAACUGCCCUUCUCACCCUGCCAGGCUGCGGAAUAAUGUCCAUGUUUUGCUCCAGUUCAUCCCGUCCUCUCGUUGGACAGGGUAGAGAAAUGGCUGCAGAGGAGCCAGUUCAGGGUUUCCAGUUUCCAAACGUCAUAUAAUCUCCCAUCUGGAACAAGGAGAAGAGCCAUGGGUCACAGACCUCCAUGGUUCAGAGGAUAGAUGGAUCCUGAGAGCUCCCUGCACAGCAGAUGAUGCAAUGGUAGGUGAGAAAAAGGAGCAGAAUUAUCAGCAGGAAAAUGUCGAGCAAGUGGAUAAACACAGAGAAUUAUCGCAAAGAUAAAAAAGAAAUGUGUCGAAGAGUCAUGAGCAGAGAAAAUCAUGCAAGACUCAGCACACACCAGAAAGAGAGCAGGGAAAGCAGCCAGGAGAGAAAAUGGGUAAAUUUAUUUUCUGUCGGGGAUCUCAGAAGAGCGUCAAGGAAACCACAACACAGCAGAAAAUCCUCGUGGGAAAGACGAAAAAUACAUGCUGUGACUGUGGAAAACGCUUCUCUAGCAGCUCACACCUUUCUGUUCAUCAGAGAAUCCACACGGGGAGACGCCCUAUGAAUGCAGGGAGUGUAGGAAAAGCUUCACUCAGAGCUCACACCUUACUGGGCAUCGGAGAAUCCACACAGUGGA